Molecule: non-coding RNA, 125 nt
Organism: Triticum aestivum (bread wheat)
Lineage: Eukaryota; Viridiplantae; Streptophyta; Magnoliopsida; Poales; Poaceae
Source: Rfam
AAAGUACUCCCUCCGUCCAGAAAUACUUGUCGAAGGAAUGGAUGUAUGUAGACGUAUUUUAGUUUUACAUACAUCCAUUUUUAUUUAUUUCUCCGACGAGUAAUUCCGGACAGAGGGAGUAUGAU